UACGUAGGGGGCAAGCGUUGUCCGGAUUUAUUGGGCGUAAAGCGCGUGUAGGCGGCCACACAGGUCCGCUGUGAAAACUCGAGGCUCAACCUCGAGCUGUCGGUGGAAACCGUGUGGCUAGAGUCCGGAAGAGGAGACUGGAAUUCCCGGUGUAGCGGCGGAAUGCGCAGAUAUCGGGAGGAACACCCGUGGCGAAGGCGGGUCUCUGGGACGGUACUGACGCUGAGACGCGAAAGCGUGGGGAGCGAACAGG
RNAcentral lists this ribosomal RNA (253 nucleotides) under uncultured bacterium. RNAcentral's name for it is "partial 16S ribosomal RNA". It matches the Rfam family "Bacterial small subunit ribosomal RNA", at positions 524 to 776 of the family's 1533-position model. The record is from RNAcentral.